Long non-coding RNA from Oncorhynchus nerka (sockeye salmon), 934 nucleotides. RefSeq lists it as uncharacterized. NCBI's taxonomy places the organism in Eukaryota, Metazoa, Chordata, Actinopteri, Salmoniformes, Salmonidae. The transcript is spliced from 2 exons. The record is from RefSeq and is a predicted model, not a curated record.
AGAAAAAUUGGACCAAUAAGCUUUCAGGGAUACGUAUGAAAGGUUUUUUUCCUCCCCUCUUCUAUGGAAUUACUUUUGUGCCUUUUUAAUAUCAAACACACCUUUUGAAUUCGUGAAUUAAAUUCUUAAUGCAAACAAAAAUGAUACUGAAAGCAAAACAUUAACCCACAAGUGUUGAGGUCGAAUAAAUAACAUAGCAAGGAAAUAAUUUUGAAAGGCAAGAACAAAUACAUUGUAAAUGAAUGCGGGAAAAAAUGGUUUUAAUUUAAACAUUUUCAAUGAUUGCAAAGAAACGCUUCCCUCUUUGUCUGCAAUAGUUUCUUUCUUUGGUUACGUUACCCUGCCCGCCCUUCGAUUUAGCUGCCUUUUUGGGGGGUUUAAAGGGAAGCGUAGAAGAUGCGUCUCUAUUGGUCAACUGGUUUUGGAAUGACAGGUCAUCUUUGAUUUUUUUUCACUAUUUUUUUAACUUAUUUAACUUUUCCAUUUAGGAUAAAUAGGUCUCAGUGGCUACUAGAUAGCUAGACAGGGUAAAAUGUACGACAAGAAGGACAUGGGGAAACAUCGCGGCGGUUGUGGCUGAUGACCUGUCUCCAUAGCUGAGAGAAGCCAAGGAGGAAUAUCACUUCAUUCCCAACAAUACUGCUAAUAUUUCUAACUGUACCGAUGAGAAAGAGUAGGGCAGACUUAUACAAUUACAAUACAGAAAUGUUCUUGCUCUUUAGUGAAUUUCUACCAAUCAUAUGUUGGAAACCAUUUAUCAAGGAAAACGAGUUGAACACUUUUUGUGGAAAUUGUAAUCUGUUUCUUGAACACCAGUGUUUCAUCUAAGGACAAUAAUAACUAUUACCUGUAUCAAAAUGUACAAUAAGGGGUAUAUCCUUAUAAAAUAAUUGAUGGUUAAUUGUGUAUGGACAUGACAAUUAACUAACACUUA